This 468-nucleotide ribosomal RNA is filed under the name uncultured bacterium. RNAcentral's name for it is "partial 16S ribosomal RNA". It matches the Rfam family "Bacterial small subunit ribosomal RNA", at positions 28 to 507 of the family's 1533-position model. The record is from RNAcentral.
GACGAACGCUGGCGGCGUGCUUAACACAUGCAAGUCGAACGGAAAGGCCCUGCUUUUGUGGGGUGCUCGAGUGGCGAACGGGUGAGUAACACGUGAGUAACCUGCCCUUGACUUUGGGAUAACUUCAGGAAACUGGGGCUAAUACCGUAUAGGAGCUCCUGCUGCAUGGUGGGGGUUGGAAAGUUUCGGCGGUUGGGGAUGGACUCGCGGCUUAUCAGCUUGUUAGUGGGGUAGUGGCUUACCAAGGCUUUGACGGGUAGCCGGCCUGAGAGGGUGACCGGCCACAUUGGGCCUGAGAUACGGCCCAGACGCCUACGGGAGGCAGCAGUGGGGAAUAUUGCACAAUGGGCGGAAGCCUGAUGCAGCAACGCCGCGUGCGGGAUGACGGCCUUCGGGUUGUAAACCGCUUUCGCCUGUGACGAAGCGUGAGUGACGGUAAUGGGUAAAGAAGCACCGGCUAACUACGUG